GUCUCCUUCGUCUAGCGGUCAGGACAUCGGGUUUUCAUCCCGACAACGGGGGUUCGACUCCCCCAGGGGAUG
This 72-nucleotide transfer RNA is filed under the name Treponema sp. Its description in RNAcentral is "tRNA-Glu". It matches the Rfam family "tRNA". From Rfam's summary of the family: Transfer RNA (tRNA) molecules are approximately 80 nucleotides in length. Their secondary structure includes four short double-helical elements and three loops (D, anti-codon, and T loops). The record is from RNAcentral. Lineage: Bacteria; Pseudomonadati; Spirochaetota; Spirochaetia; Treponematales; Treponemataceae.